Molecule: ribosomal RNA, 847 nt
Filed under: Cadophora sp. REF006
Lineage: Eukaryota; Fungi; Ascomycota; Leotiomycetes; Helotiales; Ploettnerulaceae
Description: eukaryotic LSU rRNA
Rfam family: Eukaryotic large subunit ribosomal RNA
Source: RNAcentral
GGAUUACCUCAGUAACGGCGAGUGAAGCGGUAACAGCUCAAAUUUGAAAGCUAGCUCUUUUAGGGUUCGCAUUGUAAUUUGUAGAAGAUGCUUCGGGUGUGGCCCCGGUCUAAGUUCCUUGGAACAGGACGUCAUAGAGGGUGAGAAUCCCGUAUGUGACUGGGUGCUUUCGCUCAUGUGAAGCUCUUUCGACGAGUCGAGUUGUUUGGGAAUGCAGCUCAAAAUGGGUGGUAAAUUUCAUCUAAAGCUAAAUAUUGGCCAGAGACCGAUAGCGCACAAGUAGAGUGAUCGAAAGAUGAAAAGCACUUUGGAAAGAGAGUUAAACAGUACGUGAAAUUGUUGAAAGGGAAGCGCUUGCAACCAGACUUGCGCGCUGAUGAUCAUCCGGGCUUCUGCCCGGUGCACUCGUCUGCGCUCAGGCCAGCAUCGGUUUCGGUGGUGGGAUAAAGGCCUUGGGAAUGUGGCUCCUCUCGGGGAGUGUUAUAGCCCUCGGUGCAAUGCCGCCUACCGGGACCGAGGACCGCGCUUCGGCUAGGAUGCUGGCGUAAUGGUUGUAAGCGACCCGUCUUGAAACACGGACCAAGGAGUCUAACAUCUAUGCGAGUGUUUGGGUGUCAAACCCAUACGCGUAAUGAAAGUGAACGGAGGUGAGAACCCUUAAGGGUGCAUCAUCGACCGAUCCUGAUGUCUUCGGAUGGAUUUGAGUAAGAGCAUAGCUGUUGGGACCCGAAAGAUGGUGAACUAUGCGUGAAUAGGGUGAAGCCAGAGGAAACUCUGGUGGAGGCUCGCAGCGGUUCUGACGUGCAAAUCGAUCGUCAAAUUUGCGUAUAGGGGCGAAAGACUAAUC